UACUCACUGCUCCUAAGUUUGGUGAGUUUGAGAAGGUUUUUGCACUAUGAAUGCGAAAAAUACUCAUGAUAACGAGACUAAUCUAUUUUGUGGCCUGUGGAAAUUGUUGUGGGAGAAAACAGCGUCUGGGAAUCAAGCAGAAUCAGUGUGGCGUCAGGCUCACCUAGAAGAAGGCUGAAUGAACGCUGGACAAACUCUUCUUCUUCUUCGUCUUCUUUUCUUCGUCCUUUUCUUCUUCUUCUUCUUCUUCUUCUUCUUCUUCUUCUUCUUCUUCUUCUUCUUCUUCUUCUUCUUCUUCUUCUCCUUCUUCUUCUUCUUUUCUUCGUCUUCUUUUCUUCGUCCUUUUCUUCUUCUUCUUCUUCUUCUUCUUCUUCUUCUUCUUCUUCUUCUUCAUCUUUUCUUCGUCCUUUUCUUCUUCUUCUUCUUCUUCUUCUUCUUCUUCUUCUUCUUCUUCUUCUUCUUCUUCUUCUUCUUCUUCUUCUUCUUCUUCUUCUUCUUUUCUUCGUCUUCUUUUCUUCGUCCUCUUUUCUUUCUCUUUCUUUUUCUUCUUUUUCUUCUUCUUCUUCUUCUUCGUAUUCUUUUCUUCGUCCUCUUCUCUUUCUUCUCCUUCUCCUUCUUCCCCUUUUUUCUCUUUCUCCCUCAAACUUCUUAUCAUUAACGAAAUCAUCAUCAUCAUCAUUUCCAUCAUCACUAGUGCAAAUCAUAACAGGAGGAGGGUGCAGAAACAGGAGACGAGGAUAGAUAAAAGGGAGGUCUUCGUAGAUUAACAGGAGGGGGGUACAGAAACAGGAGACGAGGAUAGAUAAAAGGGAGGUCUUCGUAGAUUAACAGGAGGGGGGUACAGAAACAGGAGACGAGGAUAGAUAAAAGGGAGGUCUUCGUAGAUUAACAGGAGAAGGGUACAGAAACAGGAGACGAGGAUAGAUAAAAGGGAGGUCUUCGUAGAUUAACAGGAGGGGGGUACAGAAACAGGAGACGAGGAUAGAUAAAAGGGAGGUCUUCGUAGAUUAACAGGAGAAGGUGUAGAAACAGGAGACGAGGAUAGAUAAAAGGGAGGUCUUCGUAGAUUAACAGGAGAAGGGUGUAGAAACAGGAGACGAGGAUAGAUAAAAGGGAGGUCUUCGUAGAUUAACAGGAGAAGAGUACAGAAACAGGAGACGAGGAUAGAUAAAAGGGAGGUCUUCGUAGAUUAACAGGAGAAGGGUGUAGAAACAGGAGACGAGGAUAGAUAAAAGGGAGGUCUUCGUAGAUUCAUAUUGAUGUUCAGACGACACAUACUCUGAAUCACGAGCCUCUCAUACCCUGACUCACACCCUGACUCACAUAACAUGACUCGCAUAAGUUGACACCCAUUCCUAACCCGGUAGCAGCGACGGGCUAGAUUUGUGGCUCUACCGUGUACCAGUGACGGGCCACACUUUUGCCAUGAUAUAAGCCCCCCCAAAAUAGAUGAUGCAUAAACUGAUCACAAAUGCGUUGAUAUGUAUUAUGAAAUGGUUUGCGUGAAUGAUGAUUUUUCUCAUUUUUCUCGCUUAGAGGGACCUUUAAGAAACAUGAUCCCCGCUGCUACGGGGUUAGUGAAACGCCAAUAAUAACACGUGGGUACUCUACACGUGACUCAGCUAUUAUGGACGGAGGAGAACGAAAAAAAGGAAGAAGAGAGCGAAGAAGAGAAGGGAAAAGAGAAACAGAAGUGAAAUCGGGGAAGAGAAAGAGGAGAAAAGAAGGAAAAGAGGACAAGGAGAUAAGAAAAAGGGGAAAGGCGAAUGUAAAUCCCCCUAUAGAACACCAGAGGGGAGAGAAGAAGGGGAGAAGAGGGAGGAAACAAGAAGAGAGAGGUAAGGGGAGUGUAGUAGAGGGGAGAAGAGAGAAGGGAUGAUAAAGAGGGGAUGCAAAAGGGAACGUGUGAUCAGGGGAUGAGUGGUGGUGGUGGUGGUGGCCAGGUGGUGGUGGUGGUGGUGGUGGUGAGGAGGGCGAGAGAUUAAGUGUGGUUGUGAUUGGUAGUGUGUUGUUUGUGGUCACGUUGUGAGAACAAGAGCGUGGGAGGAGGAGGAGGAGGACACAAGAAAAGGAGAUAACAGAAAGCAAGUUGUCAUAUUAUUAAUCUAGGAGGAGGAGGAGGAGGAGGAGGAGGAGGAGGACACAAGGAAAGGAGAUAACAGAAAGCAAGUUGUCAUAUUAUUAAUCUAAGAGGAGGAGGAGGAGGAGGAGGAGGACACAAGGAAAGGAGAUAACAGAAAGCAAGUUGUCAUAUUAUUAAUCUAAGAGGAGGAGGAGGAGGAGGAGGAGGAGGAGG
Long non-coding RNA from Eriocheir sinensis (Chinese mitten crab), 2296 nucleotides. RefSeq lists it as uncharacterized. NCBI's taxonomy places the organism in Eukaryota, Metazoa, Arthropoda, Malacostraca, Decapoda, Varunidae. The record is from RefSeq and is a predicted model, not a curated record. The transcript has 3 exons.